RNAcentral lists this ribosomal RNA (442 nucleotides) under uncultured bacterium. RNAcentral's name for it is "partial 16S ribosomal RNA". It matches the Rfam family "Bacterial small subunit ribosomal RNA", at positions 338 to 795 of the family's 1533-position model. The record is from RNAcentral.
CCUACGGGCGGCAGCAGUGGGGAAUAUUGGGCAAUGGACGCAAGUCUGACCCAGCAACGCCGCGUGAAGGAAGAAGGCUUUCGGGUUGUAAACUUCUUUUAAGGGGGAAGAGCAGAAGACGGUACCCCUUGAAUAAGCCACGGCUAACUACGUGCCAGCAGCCGCGGUAAUACGUAGGUGGCAAGCGUUGUCCGGAUUUACUGGGUGUAAAGGGCGUGCAGCCGGAGAGGCAAGUCAGAUGUGAAAUCCGCGGGCUCAACUCGCGAACUGCAUUUGAAACUGCUUCCCGUGAGUAUCGGAGAGGUAAUCGGAAUUCCUAGUGUAGCGGUGAAAUGCGUAGAUAUUAGGAAGAACACCAGUGGCGAAGGCGGAUUACUGGACGACAACUGACGGUGAGGCGCGAAAGCGUGGGGAGCAAACAGGAUUAGAUACCCUUGUAGUC